Molecule: ribosomal RNA, 564 nt
Filed under: Chaetothyriales sp. AR-2010
Lineage: Eukaryota; Fungi; Ascomycota; Eurotiomycetes; Chaetothyriales
Description: eukaryotic LSU rRNA
Rfam family: 5.8S ribosomal RNA (bases 194-347)
Source: RNAcentral
GGAAGUAAAAGUCGUAACAAGGUUUCCGUAGGUGAACCUGCGGAAGGAUCAUUACCUAGAGUUGUAGGCUUUGCCUGCUAUCUCUUACCCAUGUCUUUUGAGUACCUUCGUUUCCUCGGCGGGUUCGCCCGCCGAUUGGACAAUUUAAACCAUUUGCAGUUGCAAUCAGCGUCUGAAAAAACUUAAUAGUUACAACUUUCAACAACGGAUCUCUUGGUUCUGGCAUCGAUGAAGAACGCAGCGAAAUGCGAUAAGUAGUGUGAAUUGCAGAAUUCAGUGAAUCAUCGAAUCUUUGAACGCACAUUGCGCCCCUUGGUAUUCCAUGGGGCAUGCCUGUUCGAGCGUCAUUUGUACCUUCAAGCUCUGCUUGGUGUUGGGUGUUUGUCUCGCCUCUGCGCGUAGACUCGCCUCAAAACAAUUGGCAGCCGGCGUAUUGAUUUCGGAGCGCAGUACAUCUCGCGCUUUGCACUCAUAACGACGACGUCCAAAAGUACAUUUUUACACUCUUGACCUCGGAUCAGGUAGGGAUACCCGCUGAACUUAAGCAUAUCAAUAAGCGGAGGA